GACGAACGCUGGCGGCGUGCCUAAUACAUGCAAGUAAAACGCUGAAGGAGGAGCUUGCUUCUCUGGAUGAGUUGCGAACGGGUGAGUAACGCGUAGGUAACCUGCCUGGUAGCGGGGGAUAACUAUUGGAAACGAUAGCUAAUACCGCAUAAUAGCAGUUGUUGCAUGACAACUGUUUGAAAGGUGCAAUUGCACCACUACCAGAUGGACCUGCGUUGUAUUAGCUAGUUGGUGGGGUAACGGCUCACCAAGGCGACGAUACAUAGCCGACCUGAGAGGGUGAUCGGCCACACUGGGACUGAGACACGGCCCAGACUCCUACGGGAGGCAGCAGUAGGGAAUCUUCGGCAAUGGACGGAAGUCUGACCGAGCAACGCCGCGUGAGUGAAGAAGGUUUUCGGAUCGUAAAGCUCUGUUGUAAGAGAAGAACGAGUGUGAGAGUGGAAAGUUCACACUGUGACGGUAUCUUACCAGAAAGGGACGGCUAACUACGUG
This 495-nucleotide ribosomal RNA is filed under the name uncultured bacterium. Its description in RNAcentral is "partial 16S ribosomal RNA". It matches the Rfam family "Bacterial small subunit ribosomal RNA", at positions 28 to 507 of the family's 1533-position model. The record is from RNAcentral.